CACUUUUGGAUUUUUGUGUCUUUUUUUUCUUUGCUCGCCGCGGAUUAUUUUGGCCCAGGGUGUUGGUCGCGAAACGAGCUUUCCGAAAAGUACUUACGGGCCCCGUGAAUCCACCGGGAUCGAAAGUUAGGAACGUGAACGUAGAGACGCGCGAAUUGUGUUUACCAAGCAAUUUUCAUUUUCGUAUCUCGUCGUAUGUAAGUAGUAUUCCGUCAAUCGAGUCGGGCUCGAGAAAUUGCGUUAAUUGAACACUCUAGACUUUCUCUCGAGAAGAGAAAUUGAGUCGGUUCAAGUAAAUUUGCAAUGAAUAACAUGAC
Molecule: unclassified non-coding RNA, 317 nt
Filed under: Melaleuca howeana
Lineage: Eukaryota; Viridiplantae; Streptophyta; Magnoliopsida; Myrtales; Myrtaceae
Source: RNAcentral